This 201-nucleotide microRNA precursor is filed under the name Brachypodium distachyon (stiff brome). RNAcentral's name for it is "MIR1435 microRNA precursor family". It matches the Rfam family "MIR1435 microRNA precursor family". The record is from Rfam by way of RNAcentral. Lineage: Eukaryota; Viridiplantae; Streptophyta; Magnoliopsida; Poales; Poaceae.
CAGCUUUGUCCUAAGUCAAACAUCUUAAAGUUGGACCAAGUUUGUAGAAUAGUUUACUAAUAUUUACAAUAUCAAAAUAAGUAUACUAUGAAAAUAUAUACCAUGACAAAUUUAAUAAGACUAAUUUAAAGUUGUAGAUGUUGGUGGAAUUUUCUAUAAACUCGGUCAAACUUUAACAAGUUUGACAUAGGACAAAGCUAG